RNAcentral lists this ribosomal RNA (522 nucleotides) under uncultured bacterium. Its description in RNAcentral is "bacterial SSU rRNA". It matches the Rfam family "Bacterial small subunit ribosomal RNA", at positions 8 to 518 of the family's 1533-position model. The record is from RNAcentral.
AGAGUUUGAUUAUGGCUCAGGAUGAACGCUAGCUACAGGCUUAACACAUGCAAGGUCGAGGGGAACGAUAUGAAAGCUUGCUUCUUAGGCGUCGACCGGCGAAUGGGUGAGUAACGCGUAUCCAACCUGCCCCUGAGUAAGGGAUAGCCCAUCGAAAGAUGGAUUAAUACCUUAUGGUUUCCUUUGAAGGCAUCGGAUUAGGAAUAAAGAUUUAUCGCUGGGGGAUGGGGGAUGCGUCUGAUUAGCUUGUUGGCGGGGUAACGGCCCACCAAGGCAACGAUCAGUAGGGGUUCUGAGAGGAAGGUCCCCCACAUUGGUACUGAGACACGGACCAAACUCCUACGGGAGGCAGCAGUGAGGAAUAUUGGUCAAUGGGCGCAAGCCUGAACCAGCCAAGUAGCGUUGCAGGAUGACUGCCCUAUGGGUUGUAAACUGCUUUUAUACGGGGAUAAAGUCAGGGUCGUGACCCUGUUUGCAGGUACCGUAUGAAUAAGGACCGGCUAAUUCCGUGCCAGCAGCGGC